RNAcentral lists this ribosomal RNA (1365 nucleotides) under uncultured bacterium. RNAcentral describes it as "bacterial SSU rRNA". It matches the Rfam family "Bacterial small subunit ribosomal RNA", at positions 28 to 1381 of the family's 1533-position model. The record is from RNAcentral.
GAUGAACGCUAGCGGCAGGCUUAACACAUGCAAGUCGAGGGGCAGCACGUAGGUAGCAAUACUUAUGGUGGCGACCGGCGCAAGGGUGCGUAACACGUGAGCAACAUGCCCGUAUCAGGGGGAUAACCCAUGGAAACGUGGACUAAACCUCCAUAGGAUCGGAGAGAGGCAUCUCUUUCUGAUUAAACCCGGCGACGGAGGAUACGGAUUGGCUCGCGGGGCAUUAGCUGGAUGGUAGGGUAAUGGCCUACCAUGGCGACGAUGCUUAGGGGUUCUGAGAGGAAGGUCCCCCACACUGGAACUGAGACACGGUCCAGACUCCUACGGGAGGCAGCAGUGAGGAAUAUUGGACAAUGGAUGGAAAUCUGAUCCAGCCAUGCCGCGUGCAGGAAGGCGGUCCUAUGGAUUGUAAACUGCUUUUGUACGGGAGCAAUAAUUUCUACGGGGUAGGGAGAUGAGAGUACCGUACGAAUCAGCAUCGGCUAACUCCGUGCCAGCAGCCGCGGUAAUACGGAGGAUGCGAGCGUUAUCCGGAUUUAUUGGUUUUAAGGGUGCGUAGGCUGUAAUUUAGUCAGUGGUGAAAUGUACGGGCUUAACCGGUGAUAUGCCAUUGAUACUGGAUUGCUGGAAUACGGAUGCGGUAUGCGGAAUGUGUAGUGUAGCGGUGAAAUGCAUAGAUAUUACACAGAACACCGAUUGCGAAGGCAGCAUACCAAGGCGGGAUUGACGCUGAAGCACGAAAGUGUGGGGAUCGAACAGGAUUAGAUACCCCGGUAGUCCACACAGUAAACGAUGAUAACCAGCUGUCGGCGAUAGAAUGUCGGUAGUGAAGCGAAAGCGAUAAGUUAUCCACCUGGGGAGUACGACCGCAAGGUUGAAACUCAAAGGAAUUGACGGGGGCCCGCACAAGCGGAGGAACAUGUGGUUUAAUUCGAUGAUACGCGAGGAACCUUACCCGGGCUCGAACGGUUCAAGACAGGGAGCAGAGAUGUUCCUGCUAAUUAAAUUAGGGUGGACCGAGGUGCUGCAUGGUUGUCGUCAGCUCGUGCCGUGAGGUGUCGGCUCAAGUGCCAUAACGAGCGCAACCCCUGUUGCCAGUUACCAGCGAAUAAAGUCGGGGACUCUGGCGAGACUGCCACCGUAAGGUGCGAGGAAGGGGGGGAUGACGUCAAAUCAGCACGGCCCUUACGUCCGGGGCGACACACGUGUUACAAUGGGUACUACAGAGGGGAGCUACUUAGCGAUAAGGUGCGAAUCUGGAAAAGUACUCUCAGUUCGGAUUGGAGUCUGCAACCCGACUCUAUGAAGUUGGAUUCGCUAGUAAUCGCGCAUCAGCCAUGGCGCGGUGAAUACGUUCCCGGGCCU